CCUUUGCUUCCCACGAAUUUUCUUGAGGUCCUUCUACUUCUAACGACACAGCUCCCUCUCCGGCUGCCCAGAUCCGGUGAUUCCCUGGUGGACGACGACUACUCCACGACCGCUCCCUGCCUCCUCCCCCUCCCACUCCGGCAUCCAGGUUGGGUGACUCCAUCUCCCGGUCACCCCAUCGCCGCGCUGCACAUCGUCGUCAGGGACCAAGGCGCCGCCGCCACGGCGUCCUCCUCCCCGGUGGCCGCGGGUGCCCCGCCCACCAAGCUACCCCUUCUUAUCUUUCCGGAGGCGAUCUGGUAGUGCUCGAGCUCGCGGUGAUGCGGCCACGAUAUCCUCCUCCCCGGUGCUCCUAGAUCUAGCAAUAGCUCACCGGAGGCAAGCCGGGGUGCUCGAUCUGCUCGCCUCCUUCGCCUCGCAGGCUCAGCAAGCAGAAUCAAGGUUAGCUCCGUUUCUCCCAUUCCCCUCCCCAUCUCCCUCCUAUAGAUUUCUCUCCAAUGGCAGCUCGUAUGGGUUCGGUAGCCUUAUUCUUUCUGCCAGCUGAAGUCUCCUCUCAUUGUGCCUGGCACCUCUCUCUGAGACCAACAGGUUUGAUCGCCUUGUCACAUAUGGUACAUAUGUCUUACUGUAAUUUGGUUGAUUCCGGUUAGUGUUCUUUUUCUUUAGGGGAGGUACGUAUUUGGAUGUAGCUCACUGGCCAGGAGAACCUGCGGUGCCAGCAGACCAAUCUAAUCCGUAGGUGCUGAAUGUGCAUACAGUUAUGUAGUAUGUGCAAUUUACUUGCUCUGUUUUUUAUGGGGAUUUUGGAAUUGUUCAUACAUGCAUGAUCCAUAUCCGUUCUGUGAUUUCCGUUGUCUAUUUACUGAUGACCCAAGUGUGUUUUAUUUUCAUCUUUCUUUGUCUUGAUAUAGCUGAAGGUCAACUGCUAGCCCAUUUGUGCAAUUCACUAAUUUAGUUGUGGCUGCUUGCUCAAAGUCUAUUUUAUAGUUGGCCAGCAUAUUAUCGUGGAAAAAUGUUUAACUGUUUUGGCUGGAACGAAACCAAAGCUGAUUAUUUUGAAAAUGCAUCAUACCGCGCUGAUUUACUAUAAUAUCAUGCGUCAUCAGGUUUUGGCAUAUACUUUUGAGUUAUAUAUCGCCAUGCCAAGUUGCCAACUAAUGAUACUCCCUCCGUUCGGAAUUAUUUGUCGCAUAAAUGGAUGUAUCUAGACGUAUUUUAGUUCUAAAUACAUCCAUUUCCGAGACAAGUAAUUCCGAACGGAGGGAGUACAUAGUUAUGUUUGAAGAACAAUGUUGAGUAGUGCAAGGUUACACCAGCACAGUUUAAACACAUCUUUCUUUUUGUUGAUAGUUUUUUAGAUAGCUGACUGCUUAUGCCCAAUGGUAGUUUAAUCGGGCAUCUUAAAUUUUCUAAGAAUCACACCGCUGCGGCGCAGCACACUUAGGUUGUUGGCUGCUAGUUAGGAACAAAAGGUGCAUAAAGGUCCAAAAGCAAGAAAUGAUUUGAGUCGUAGUGCAUAAAGGUGCUUAAUUUCCAUCUCUUGAAUGAGGCCAUUCCAAAAAAUAUCUACUCACUGAUUCUCCAUUGUGAGGCCAUAAAUAUACCUGCAAAAUUUGGAUGUACACUUGAACAAGUUCAAUAAAUCAUGGAACAGCGAGAAUAUACACUUGUCUCCAUUAUUCUUUUGUAAGAUCAUUGCCUGAGAUAUUAUUUAGUAUGACUUUGAGAUUGUAGUGGUUUAGUAAGUAUAACAUUUUUAUUUUCAGUUUGCAUUCAUUGUAACGUUUCGCCUGAAAGAAACAAUACUCUCGUUGUGUGUGCCUUCUAAUUUGCAACCUUGCAAUUGGAGAUGAACUCUCAGUUUGUUAUGUUUCAAGACACUAAGCUUUGGGUACGAUGGUUAGAUGAGAGCUCAUUGACCAGUACUAAGCUCUGCCCCUGCCAUUCUACUGCUACAUCUUGAUGUGAAGUGGAAGAAAUUAGCACGACGCCGCCUUUAGGAGGCCCCAUGUUAAAAAAAAACCCGGAAACUAUGUACCAACACUAUCAGGUCAAGAAUAUCUUGAUGUAUGAAACAUUCUAUUAACCCCUUGUUUGAUGAUGUUUGCUCAAAAUUUGUUUACAGCCGUGGAGUUGGUCAACAGCGUUCAAAAUAAAGAUUUCAGCGAUGCUACCUCAUUUGCAGAGAUUAAUUCUCCAAUGCUCUCAUUGAUGAUUUCAGUACUCCAAAAUAUAUUACUAGAAGUGACAUACGAUCAGAUUUGUUCUUGCUAGUACAAUGAUUUGUUCUUGUGCUCCAAACUGAAUGAUUUGUUUGGUAUCAUCUUUUUCCAGCACAUGAAGAUUCAUGAGCAAGAAGCACUAUCAAUGGAUGCAAGCUUUGGUAGCGAUGCUUAUUCAGCGGGGAUCACUUCAGUCCUUCAUACUCGGGGUUCGAUGUUCAUGUCGUAGAAAAUGAUAUGUCAUGUUAUGUACCAAGUGAUAUAUGUAUGUGUCUUGUGUACUCAAAUUAGGAUGGAUGGCGUGGAACCGAAAAAGUUUCUGCCUAGGAUGAUCCUCUUGGACAUGUAUUCAAAAAUUCGUGCUGGACAUACACUGCCAUAUUUGUGUCUGGGUCCAUAUUUGAAUUUACUAGGAACAGAAUGGUUGUGACGAUUUGAAGUAGAAAAUGAUCAUGCCAUGAUAUGUACCAAGUUUAUGUAUUUAUGUGUAUUGUGUACUCCAAUUAGGAUGAAUGGCAUGCACUGAAAUUUUUCUGCCUAAGAUGAUCCACUUGGAAAUGUAUUAAAAAAACCGUUCUUG
This 2802-nucleotide long non-coding RNA is filed under the name Triticum aestivum (bread wheat). RNAcentral's name for it is "long non-coding RNA (TAES_LNC000890)". The stretch from base 1158 to 1272 matches the Rfam family "MIR1120/MIR1122 microRNA precursor family". Lineage: Eukaryota; Viridiplantae; Streptophyta; Magnoliopsida; Poales; Poaceae. The record is from RNAcentral.